Molecule: ribosomal RNA, 239 nt
Filed under: uncultured Lactobacillus sp.
Lineage: Bacteria; Bacillati; Bacillota; Bacilli; Lactobacillales; Lactobacillaceae
Description: partial 16S ribosomal RNA
Rfam family: Bacterial small subunit ribosomal RNA
Source: RNAcentral
AACCUGCCCAAGAGAUCGGGAUAACACCUGGAAACAGAUGCUAAUACCGGAUAACAAUAGAUGAUGCCUAUCAACUGUUUAAAAGAUGGUUCUGCUAUCACUCUUGGAUGGACCUGCGGUGCAUUAGCUAGUUGGUAGGGUAACGGCCUACCAAGGCGAUGAUGCAUAGCCGAGUUGAGAGACUGAUCGGCCACAUUGGGACUGAGACAAGGCCCAAACUCCUACGGGAGGCAGCAGGU